UACGGAAUGGAUAAGCGCUGAAAGCAUCUAAGCGCGAAGCCAACUUCAAGAUAAGAUUUCCCACCGUAAGGGUAAGAUCCCAGGAAGACUACCUGGUUGAUAGGUCAAAGGUGUAAGUGCAGCAAUGCAUGUAGCUUAUUGAUACUAAUAGAUCGAGGACUUGACCAAG
RNAcentral lists this ribosomal RNA (169 nucleotides) under Paraclostridium sordellii. Its description in RNAcentral is "partial 23S ribosomal RNA". It matches the Rfam family "Bacterial large subunit ribosomal RNA", at positions 2754 to 2925 of the family's 2925-position model. Lineage: Bacteria; Bacillati; Bacillota; Clostridia; Peptostreptococcales; Peptostreptococcaceae. The record is from RNAcentral.